This 492-nucleotide ribosomal RNA is filed under the name uncultured bacterium. RNAcentral's name for it is "partial 16S ribosomal RNA". It matches the Rfam family "Bacterial small subunit ribosomal RNA", at positions 28 to 507 of the family's 1533-position model. The record is from RNAcentral.
GAUGAACGCUAGCUACAGGCUUAACACAUGCAAGUCGAGGGGAAACGACAUCGAAAUCUUGCUUUUGCUGGGCGUCGACCGGCGCACGGGUGAGUAACGCGUAUCCAACCUGCCCAUCACUUGGGAAUAACCUUGCGAAAGUAAGACUAAUACCCAAUCAUAUCCCACGAAGGCAUCGGAAUGGGAUUAAAGAUUUAUCGGUGAUGGAUGGGGAUGCGUCUGAUUAGCUUGUUGGCGGGGUAACGGCCCACCAAGGCAACGAUCAGUAGGGGUUCUGAGAGUAAGGUGCCCGACAGGGGAACUGAGACAAGGGCCAAACUCCUACGGGAGGCAGCAGUGAGGAAGAUAGGUCAAUGGGAGAGAGCCUGAACCAGCCAAGUAGGGUGCAGGAAGACGGCCCUAUGGGUUGUAAACUGCUUUUAGAAGGGAAUAAAGUGGGUUAAGGGUGAGUGUUUGCAUGUACCUUAUGAAUAAGGACCGGCUAAUUCCGUG